CAGUUCGUCCGCCUGCCGUGCGGCAUCCACCGCGAACUCUCUCGCCCCGCAGAGAGCAGCAGCAUCCUCACCCUGCGACUCACUGGAUACAACUGGUCGCCGACGUGUGCGCGCUGUCUUCUGCUUCCACCGGCAGCUCGUUUUUCGACGAUGGCCGAGAGCGAGGCGGACACGCCGAGCACGCCGAUUGAGUUUGAGAGCAGAUACUUCGAGUUCGAUGGAGUGCGGCUGCCCCCCUUCUGCAGGGGGAAGAUGGAGGAGAUCGCCAAUUUCUCCCUCAGAAGCAGCGACAUAUGGAUUGUCACCUACCCGAAGUCAGGCACCAGUCUGCUUCAGGAGGUCGUGUAUUUAGUGAGCCAGGGUGCCGACCCAGAUGAAAUCGGUCUCAUGAACAUUGAUGAGCAGCUGCCCGUCUUAGAGUACCCCCAACCCGGCCUGGAUAUCAUACAGGAGCUUACGUCCCCUCGACUGAUCAAGAGCCACCUUCCUUACAGAUUCCUCCCAACGGCCAUGCACAAUGGAGAGGCCAAGGUGAUCUACAUGGCUCGCAACCCUAAGGACCUGGCAGUGUCCUACUACCAGUUCCACCGCUCUCUGAGGACCAUGAGCUACAGAGGAAGCUUCCAGGAGUUCUGCCGACGCUUCAUGAAUGACAAGUUGGGAUAUGGUUCCUGGUUUGAUCAUGUUCAAGAGUUUUGGGAGCAUCGUAUGGACUCUAACGUCCUCUUCUUGAAAUAUGAAGACAUGUAUAAGGAUCUGGGGACGUUGGUGGAGCAGUUAGCCCGGUUCCUUGGUGUUUCCUGUGACAAGGCUCAGCUGGAGAGCAUGGGGGAGAGCUGCAACCAGCUCAUUGAGCAGUGCUGCAACUCGGAGGCACUGUCCAUCUGCAGGGUGCAUGGGCGUCUGGUGUGUGGUGUGCUUUAGGUUGAGCACACAGCUGGCGGUCAGUCCACAACAGAAUCUGUCAGGUGGAUGGUCAGAAUUCAUGUGGGUUUUACAUCAGUCGUCAUGUAGAAGAGCGGCACAUCAUGACUCCUAAACAGGGCAACACGAGGACAAGUAUCUCAAUAAAGAAAUCCCCCAAUCUGUGGCCUCAAAAACAAAGGUCGCGUGGGUCUGUGGAAGGACAUCUUCACAGUGUCCAUGAAUGACAAGUUUGACUCGCUGUACAGACAGAAGAUGGGCAAGUCUGACCUAACCUUUGACUUCGGCCUGUGAAGACCCCAUUCCUCCUCGGCCCCCUCCCAUUGACCCACAUCAGUAGUGAAGACAAAGCCCGCGCUCUGCUCAACCAGUCUGACGUUCUGAUCGCGGCACAGGACUUCUCGCCGAAUGCAAUCAGCGUAAUCACAGAUCACACACAACAAAUCCAGAAUUUUGAGGAGUUUCUCAAUCAAUAGUUAAACCAAACCUCCUUCGCCCCGCCCUCCACAGUAUGCUCUUACUGCUGUCUCUGUGUGUCUGUAUAUACUGUCCACUGAUGUGAUAUGGAUUCAAACUACACAAAGAUAUUUGUGAUUGAAAUACACUGAAAAUCACUUGUCAACGUGGAUAGACUUCACCAUUCGGUGUGUUCAUAUCAAGGCUGUUCACUUUCUGGACCAAGUUGCUCUGUGUGUAAGAAAGUCAAGUCUGACCACGUAACUGUUUCCUAUGUUCUAAUCUGCCACAUUCAGAAAGUCUGCUGCUGUCAGGUUGAGAUGAAACAACUGUUCAAAUGGAGCUCAUGGCGCGCGCACACAGACACACACACGCACGUACACACACGCACACACACACACACACACACACACACUCUCUCUCUCUCUCUUUCUGAGGUGCUCAUGCAUGCAGACAAAAAGUGAUAAGAAGAAUUAGAAAACAGAGCUUUAUAUACAGUACGUUCAAAUCCUGCCUAGUUUCUUUUUUCUAUACACCCACCCAUCGCUUUGCGAAGUGGGCACCCUGAUGCCAGCAUCAGUAGGAAGCUGGGUGAAGGAUUCAGGUGCUGUUCGACGAUCCAACACACUGAUGGCUUAAGGCUUUUUGAACCGUUCCCGAUCUGGCCCCAGAAGAUUCUAGGGCCGCCCUCAGGGGGAGCUGGAGAGAGUAGCUGGGGACAGGUGCAUGCAGGCUAAGGAGGGUUUUCGUGGUCUAAUAGUCGGUAGCUCGGGCAGAAUCAGGCGCAAGUGGUUAUGCCCCAAGUGGAGAGAAGAAGAGGCAAUUUGGGCCAGUUCAAGCUGAUGUUUCCAGAAGGGCAUACAUAUAAUAUCUUGUUUAAACUUUUUUUUAAAGCUAACUUUAUUUAAAGCAUUAUUAUUAUUAUUAUUAUUAUUAGUGUUAUUAUUAUUAUUAUUAUCAUUAUUAAUAAUAAUAAUUCUUAUUUUUUUGCCAUCUGACAUUUUAGCUUAUCAUGAAGUUGAUAUGGAGAAAGAUGCUGUAGAUACAGUAUAGAGCCACAUGAAUUCAUGCUCCCAGCCACUAGAUGAAUGUAUAUUUGGAUCUCUGCCACUGUAGCUGCUACAUGUGGCAGAGAUCACAGUCACUGUAGCUACUGGAGCAGUGCCAGUAGCUACAGUGACUGGGCAAGUUGCUUCCUGCUGCUGCUGCAGCUGAAAUUGAAGUUGAACCAAAGAAGUGGGCUGAAAGAUGCUUCAAGGCUCUGUUGACCUGAGAGAAACUAGAGUGAUAUAAGUCAUGUGAUCUAUUUUUGAUGUAAUAAAAAUAUAUAUUAGUGCAGCUUUAAAGUUAACUAAUCAGCUAAUUUGUGACUUAAUUGCGAGUGACCCCGUGGAAUGCUACUGUGUGACUCUGCUAGUGCAGUCCUGCAUUCAACCUCUGCUUACACGUGUGAUUUUCAGUGCAUAUCAGCCACAAAUAUACACACAUACUGAAUAAUUGACUCUGAUCUCUGUGGUUCCCAGGAUAAAGCCUCUAAAUAAAAGAUGUCAACCAUCAUGGGACACAAAGACUCCCCAGGAUAGCCCAGGCUAAUGAAUAGAUGUAAUAAACUAAGAUAUGGUUAGUAACGCAGCCACAUACACACAUUUAUUGGUGGCUGAACUGGAAGACAUGAAUUAACUCAAACAGCAGCACCCUGCAGUGGCUCAGAUGUCGUCUGAUGGCUGAGAAAGUAUUGUUGAGCAAAGACACGUAGAAAACAAAACGCUGACGGCAAAAACAGUGUUUUUAUGCUAUGGUCAGUUGUGAAAUUUGCUUCAUGUUCUUUUUCAGUGGAACCUAAAUGUCGUAAAUACACAUUUACUUAAUUUUGUUACUUAAUUUUGUCGGUUUGUAUCCAUCGAUUUCAAUUGCAAUACAAAUCUUUAAAAGCUGUAUUUUCAAAUUUAAUUAUUUUCCUCAUGCUCUGAGUCAGAAAUCUCCAAUUCACUAUUGCAAGAUUAACCAGACAUUCCCGUGGCUAAUUAUUGUUCAGGACUACAUUCUGAAGUUUCUUAGAGGGAGAUCUGUUCAUGUAUUAUUCGGUCUCAUUUUUAGAACAUUUAAUUCAUAAAAUAAAUGGUGAAAAAUA
Scophthalmus maximus (turbot) is the source of this 3511-nucleotide RNA transcript. It is a transcript of the gene named sulfotransferase family 4A, member 1, with no coding region annotated. NCBI's taxonomy places the organism in Eukaryota, Metazoa, Chordata, Actinopteri, Pleuronectiformes, Scophthalmidae. The transcript has 9 exons. The record is from RefSeq and is a predicted model, not a curated record.